Molecule: unclassified non-coding RNA, 228 nt
Filed under: Hevea brasiliensis (rubber tree)
Lineage: Eukaryota; Viridiplantae; Streptophyta; Magnoliopsida; Malpighiales; Euphorbiaceae
Source: RNAcentral
CCAUCCCCCAGACCAAGAAGGGAAAUCCUCCUACUGCAUAUAGCAGAACUCCAAAGGCAAUGGGAUGAAGAAUGUAUGUUUUUUGGAUGAACUUGUAGAAGGGUUGCUUCUGCAAAUCCCCAACAUUGCUUGGAUCUCCACACCUUUCAAUAACAGAAUUGGUAUCAAAGAGCCAACUCAUAUGACUAUACCAAAACCCUUCAAGGGGGCUAUGAGGGUCUCUCUCAG